CUGUUGAUUCUACCUAAUAAAUACGAAGGGCUGUAGAAGCUCAGGGCCCUUAUUCCCUAGAAGCAAGGAGCCCCCUGACCCCUUCCUUAAAACAGAUCCUUUUGUCUUUGUCUUCAUUUCUGCGUUUAUCCUCCUUCGUUCAGUCUCAAACCAACAGCCACAAGUGGUGCCCGAUCAGGGACAUGAAGGAAGAAGGUCUGCUGGAGCAGAGAAACUGAAACUGACCAGACGAACGAGAAACCCCGGGACAAAUCUGCUGGCAGAGGAUAUAAGGGCAAACAAAGAAGAUAACCAGUCUCCAAAGUCAAGGAUGCCCUGAGAACACCAGUAAAAGGAACUCAGGAUAAUCUCAGCUCUAACUCGGCCAGAGUGGCUCCAUCGCUCAAAUCGUUCCCUCCUUCAGUGAUUGGCUGAGCCUGCCAGAGUCGAACAGCGGAAAGCAGCCCCAGGGCCUCUUGCUGCCCCCAGGGUGCGCAGGUCCCAAACCAGCCCUCAUCUCCUGGUUGGAACGAAACACCGAUGACUGGGAACCGGCUGCUCUAGAUCCGCAGGAGUACCCGAGAGGGCUAACAGUCCGGAGAAAAAGCAGAACCAGAAAGAAGAAUGGGGAGAAGGAAGUAUUUCCGCCUAAGGAGGCACCCCGAAAGGGGAAGCGAGGCCGGAGGCCCAGCAAACCCCGACUGAUUCCCAGGCAGACGUCUGGGGGCCCCAUCUGCCCUGACUGCGGCUGUACCUUCCCUGAUCAUCAGGCCCUGGAGAGCCACAAGUGCGCCCAAAAUCUAAAAAAGCCUUACCCUUGCCCAGACUGUGGGCGCCGCUUUUCCUAUCCAUCCCUGCUGGUCAGUCACCGGCGGGCACACUCCGGCGAGUGCCCCUAUGUUUGUGACCAGUGUGGCAAACGUUUCUCCCAGCGUAAGAACCUCUCCCAGCACCAGGUUAUCCAUACAGGUGAGAAGCCCUACCACUGCCCUGACUGUGGUCGCUGCUUCCGGAGGAGCCGGUCCUUGGCCAAUCACCGGACCACACACACAGGCGAAAAACCCCACCAGUGCCCUAGCUGCGGACGUCGCUUCGCCUACCCCUCCCUGCUAGCCAUCCACCAGCGUACACACACGGGAGAGAAGCCCUACACCUGCCUCGAGUGCAACCGCCGCUUCCGCCAGCGCACGGCCCUCGUCAUCCACCAGCGCAUCCACACGGGCGAGAAGCCCUACCCGUGCCCGGACUGCGAGCGGCGCUUCUCCUCCUCCUCUCGCCUGGUCAGUCACCGGCGUGUGCACUCCGGGGAGCGUCCCUAUGCCUGCGAGCACUGUGAGGCCCGCUUCUCCCAGCGCAGCACGCUGCUCCAGCACCAGCUCUUGCACACCGGAGAGAAGCCCUACCCCUGCCCAGACUGUGGGCGUGCCUUCCGG
Molecule: small RNA, 1412 nt
Filed under: Pongo abelii (Sumatran orangutan)
Lineage: Eukaryota; Metazoa; Chordata; Mammalia; Primates; Hominidae
Description: processed transcript
Source: RNAcentral